This 463-nucleotide ribosomal RNA is filed under the name uncultured bacterium. Its description in RNAcentral is "partial 16S ribosomal RNA". It matches the Rfam family "Bacterial small subunit ribosomal RNA", at positions 328 to 792 of the family's 1533-position model. The record is from RNAcentral.
UGUCCAGACUCCUACGGGAGGCAGCAGUGGGGAAUAUUGCACAAUGGGGGGAACCCUGAUGCAGCGACGCCGCGUGGGUGAAGGAGCACCUCGGUGCGUAAAGCCCUAUCGGCAGGGAAGAAAAGCGAACAGGUUCGCCUGGACGGUACCUGACUAAGAAGCCCCGGCUAACUACGUGCCAGCAGCCGCGGUAAUACGUAGGGGGCAAGCGUUAUCCGGAUUCACUGGGUGUAAAGGGAGCGUAGACGGUUGUACAAGUCUGAUGUGAAAGCCCACGGCUCAACUGUGGGAGUGCAUUGGAAACUGUAGAACUAGAGUAUCGGAGAGGCAAGUGGAAUUCCUAGUGUAGCGGUGAAAUGCGUAGAUAUUAGGAGGAACACCAGUGGCGAAGGCGGCUUGCUGGACGAAAACUGACGUUGAGGCUCGAAAGCGUGGGGAGCAAACAGGAUUAGAUACCCUGGUA